Molecule: long non-coding RNA, 890 nt
Filed under: Helianthus annuus (common sunflower)
Lineage: Eukaryota; Viridiplantae; Streptophyta; Magnoliopsida; Asterales; Asteraceae
Source: RNAcentral
UUACUUCGACUCACCCGACCCAUUUCACUCCAUCUCCGUCUUCCUCCAUUGGCAUAACUCUCAAGACCCGUUUUCCCCUUCACGCGACCAGUUCACUUAUCCAUUUGUUCUCAAAGCAUUCUCCAAAUUGAAACAGAAAAGUUUUGGUAAACAUCUCAACGAGAUGGUUUACAAGUCCAGGUUUGAGUUCGACGAACCAGAUCCAGAGAGUUUCAUCCAGGCGACGAACCAGAUCUGGAGAAGAAACAACAGAGUUUCAUCGAGAUCCGACGAAGCUGGUUCGACGAACAAGAUCUGGAGAAGUUGAAGCUGGUUCCGGUGAUUUUGACGAGCCGGAGAAGUUGAAGGAUCGAGUUUGAAGAGGUUAAAAGGAAAAUGAUCCGACGAAGCUGGCUUUAAAAGCCGGACGCCUAACAUGGUUGAGGGAGUGGGAGCAGAAGAGUUCAUCUUCGGCAAACCAGAUCUGACGAAGCUGGUUCUAAAAGCCCUAUGGGCUGAACUGCAUAGCCAAUGCUUCGGUCAGGGAGUCAAUGAAUAAGAAUUUGGAGCUAUCACUGGUGGGGCACUCUUUAGGGAUGCUUUGUUGGUGGAAGAGAAGUCUUCAUCAAUGGCUAUUGCAAUAACCAAUAGCUGAACUGUAAAAAGUACUUGUGAUCUUUUUCAGCUGGACCAUGCAGAAGAAAACAAUCUAACUGGCCAACUAGAUUGCUAAUCAAUGUGAGGUUGCUAGCAGCAUAUUUUCAAGCAUCUUCAAUCACUUGGUAUUGGUGGUUGAUGUAGGUUGAGACAAAAGUCUAUUGCAGUAUUGUUGUUGCUGUUGCAGUUGGUGCAUCAUUUGUAGAUAGCAAUUGAUUAGAAGUUUAUGUAUUUAGUAUUUAAAGUGAAAAAUU